UUAAAGUCCAGAUGGGCACUCGUCCGGGUUAGUACCGAACUUGACCCACAGGGGGCGCUGUGGUGCAACAUUUCAUCUGAGAUUGCUCUAUUAUUUUUCAUGCAGCUGAGCGGCUGUCAGAUCGUUGCUGCCACAAAUUGUAAAUAAGUGUUUGUUUCACACAUCUUCAUACUCCUGCUCCUCUUGACACACAUGGCUACUGCAUCGCGUCACCCACCGCCGUCGUGGGGAAUGGAUAAUUUUCACGCAAACUGGCGGUAUGGUGUAUAAUGGAACGAGCAAAGAUGACGCUACCUGCAUCCUGCUUGGCGCGAUGGCCAAUAACGAUAUUGAUGAUGUUCGGCGCCGGUACCGUCAUGCGUAACGAGUUCUGUUCCACGCGCCGGUAGAGUGUCCACGAGAGAUUUCGUCGAUCAGGCCUGCCCGAAGUUAACUUAUUUUGUCUGCAACUUUACACCCAGUACAUCAUCAACCAGUACGAGAAUCCGAUGCCGAUUUCGGUGCAAUCCUGGAUCCGCAUCGACGGAUCGGGUAACAUCGACACCGCUGGACGCAGAGCGAUGACUAACCCGCAAUCCCGUACCGGAAACUGGAACCUGCAGGCCGUCGUAGGCAGUGCUGGUACUGGUUUUCGCACUUGGACUGUCCGUUUGUUGGCGUUCACAACGACCUGAAUCAUCGUGCUCAAUCAACUGUGGCCUGAAGAAGCCAACGACGUCAAUGCGGCCCCAAGUCCAUCGCUUUACGCAUGUACCCCCCCAUCCCCCCCUCCCCGGUGCUGGAGGAAAAAAUCGCAAAGUGCGGGAAAAGGUUACUACGGCCGUACUAUCGGAUGAAACUCGUGCCGAACACCGCGAAGGCGACAAGAAGGAAGCGAAGGAAGGUGCCAAGACGGCCUCAAAGGGUAAAACGCAGCGUUCGGUAGCAAGCAUAACACGGCCAAGGUGGAGGUGCAAGCUUUAUACAUCGCAACACCGGUCAAGGAGGAAUUGAAGACGGAUAAUUCGACUAACUCUGGAACGGCUUUUCGCGCACCAGCUAGUGCUACCGAGAACGACCGGCAACAGAUAAGGUAGCAGGCAGGACAGUGAACAAAACGUCCAGAGAACCGGAAGUGCUGUAACGUUCGAGUGUGUGAAACAUGAUGCUUAAAACCUGUACCUUGAACCCAUU
Anopheles coluzzii is the source of this 1173-nucleotide long non-coding RNA. RefSeq lists it as uncharacterized. The record is from RefSeq and is a predicted model, not a curated record. Lineage: Eukaryota; Metazoa; Arthropoda; Insecta; Diptera; Culicidae. The transcript has 2 exons.